GAAAUCGGGAUAACUUCGCGAAAGCGGGGCUAAUACCGGAUAAUAUUUUUUGGUCAUAUGAACGUUAAAUCAAAGGUGACCUCUUCACAAUGUUGCCGUUCAGGGAUGGGCUCGCGGUCCAUUAGCUUGUUGGUAGGGUAAUGGCCUACCAAGGCGACGAUGGAUAACCGGCCUGAGAGGGUGUACGGUCACACUGGAACUGAGACACGGUCCAGACUCCUACGGGAGGCAGCAGUGGGGAAUAUUGCGCAAUGGGGGCAACCCUGACGCAGCGACGCCGCGUGAGCGAUGAAGGUCUUCGGAUUGUAAAGCUCUGUCAGAUGGGAAGAAACGCAUGAGUCUCAAUAGGAUUCAUGUUUGGCGGUACCAUCAGAGGAAGCCCCGGCUAACUCCGUGCCAGCAGCCGCGGUAAUACGGAGGGGGCAAGCGUUGUUCGGAAUUACUGGGCGUAAAGGGCACGUAGGCGGCCUGAUUAGUCAGGCGUGAAAUCCCAUGGCUUAACCAUGGAAUUGCGUUUGAUACUAUCAGGCUUGAGUAUGGGAGAGGAGAGUGGAAUUCCUAGUGUAGCGGGUGAAAUGCGCA
RNAcentral lists this ribosomal RNA (582 nucleotides) under uncultured bacterium. RNAcentral describes it as "bacterial SSU rRNA". It matches the Rfam family "Bacterial small subunit ribosomal RNA", at positions 134 to 692 of the family's 1533-position model. The record is from RNAcentral.